This 351-nucleotide ribosomal RNA is filed under the name Salmonella enterica. RNAcentral's name for it is "partial 23S ribosomal RNA". It matches the Rfam family "Bacterial large subunit ribosomal RNA", at positions 1215 to 1547 of the family's 2925-position model. Lineage: Bacteria; Pseudomonadati; Pseudomonadota; Gammaproteobacteria; Enterobacterales; Enterobacteriaceae. The record is from RNAcentral.
UAAAGUCGAGUUGGCUUAGGGAUACGUUCGUUGGGUAGGGGAGCGUUCUGUAAGCCUGUGAAGGUGUGUCGUGAGGCAUGCUGGAGGUAUCAGAAGUGCGAAUGCUGACAUAAGUAACGAUAAAGCGGGUGAAAAGCCCGCUCGCCGGAAGACCAAGGGUUCCUGUCCAACGUUAAUCGGGGCAGGGUGAGUCGACCCCUAAGGCGAGGCCGAAAGGCGUAGUCGAUGGGAAACGGGUUAAUAUUCCCGUACUUGGUGUUACUGCGAAGGGGGGACGGAGAAGGCUAUGUUGGCCGGGCGACGGUUGUCCCGGUUUAAGCGUGUAGGUGUGUGUUCCAGGUAAAUCCGGUU